GCUGAGUGUGGUGGUGCACACCUGUGGUCCCAGCUACUUGGGAGGCUGAGGCAGGAGGAUUGCUUGAGUCCAGGAUGUCAAGGCUGCAGUGAGCUGAGAUUGUACCACUGCACUCCAGUCUGGGCAACAGAGCAAGACCCUGUCUUUC
This 148-nucleotide small RNA is filed under the name Pongo abelii (Sumatran orangutan). Its description in RNAcentral is "Metazoan signal recognition particle RNA (ENSPPYG00000032992.1)". Lineage: Eukaryota; Metazoa; Chordata; Mammalia; Primates; Hominidae. The record is from Rfam by way of RNAcentral.